CUCCUGCUCAUAAGUGACGUUUCUCUAAUUAUCGCAUCAUCCAGACAUCGUAAUCUGCCCUCGCAGGUAUGAAAGGCCCAUUAAUAACUCUCCAGGGAAGGGAGGCAGCGUCCCAGAUGCAGCCCUGCCGCAUGAUCUGCCCUCUGAUACAGAGUUCCCACAAUCAGCACUAACAUGCCCUCUGAUGUGUCACAGCACUCAUUGUUUCUCAGCCUCUCGCAAUAUACAACCAAAAAGCAAACCCCCUUAUCAUUUAAUAACACUCUCUGAUACUGAGAGCUGGAGAAGAUGGACACGCUCCAAGGGGGUGGAGAAAGCCGGUCAUGUGAGGAAGCUAUUAGGGCUGCGUACAGGCUCUCACACAGCUGGGAGUUCGGACAGAGCUCAGUCUCCACUUUCCUCGAACUCCAGCUGAAAAGAAGUCUUUCCUUUACCCAGGGCAAUCUAAGAACCCAGAGGCUUGUAUUUUAUGCCCAACUUUCUCAGUAACCCACUCUGUGGCCUAAGAACUGUUUGGAUGCUUCGAGCAAUUUCCUGUCUGUGAAAUAUAAAUGGAUGUUCUGAAGGGGAGGCCUGCACAAUUACCAAACAAAACAAGAGGAAUGGUCAUAGAACAGAAAAAAAUUGGUCAAAAGGAACAGAAAAUGAGGGUGAAGAUGUUACUCUUUUUUGCCUCAUUUUGGUACCGAAAACCAAUGGGAGAGGUUUGUGGUGGUGGUCACAGUAGAACUCCCACCUACUGAGAAGGCCUUGAUUAAGAAUAGGAGGGAUUCAUAUGGAGACUUGGGAGGAAAAAAGUACAGAGAUGGAAAUAAAAGUUCCGUGGGGAUUUGCCAGUUUGUUGAUAAAUUAAUUAAAUGCAUAUGAUAUCACAUUUUCACAAAGUUCUGCUGAACUCAGGGUCUGACUGCUUGUACCCCUGAGGACUCCCCUACCAGAAUAA
Molecule: long non-coding RNA, 943 nt
Organism: Manis javanica (Malayan pangolin)
Lineage: Eukaryota; Metazoa; Chordata; Mammalia; Pholidota; Manidae
Source: RefSeq, a predicted model, not a curated record